GGAAGACAGAGGGAGGGGCGUGUGCAGGGAGACCUGUAGUUUCCGCUUGCGGUCCGGCUGUAGGCUGAGGAAAGUUCGUUCUCGCUUUGGGGCUGCGGUUUGCCUUGAAUCCCCUCUGCCUGUGAGACCCGAAGCGAGUUUUCAGCACAUGAGCUGUCCAUUUCCGGAAAAAAAACCCAAAAAACAAACAAACAAACAAACAACCAAAAAACCAGGGACACUCAUCACCCUUGUCUGUCGUCCUCGUGCUUGGUGUUGAAUAAGCAUAUAUAUAAUUAUAAAAACCAUGGAUGAAGAACCUGAAAGAACUAAGCGGUGGGAAGGAGGCUAUGAGAGAACCUGGGAAAUUCUUAAAGAAGAUGAAAGUGGAUCACUUAAAGCUACAAUAGAGGAUAUUCUCUUCAAGGCAAAGAGGAAAAGAGUGUUUGAGCACCAUGGACAAGUUCGACUUGGAAUGAUGCGCCACCUGUACGUGGUGGUGGAUGGGUCCAGAACAAUGGAAGAUCAGGAUUUAA
RNAcentral lists this long non-coding RNA (515 nucleotides) under Rattus norvegicus (Norway rat). RNAcentral describes it as "long non-coding RNA NONRATT016035". Lineage: Eukaryota; Metazoa; Chordata; Mammalia; Rodentia; Muridae. The record is from RNAcentral.